GAGGGUAUAGCUCAGUGGAAGAGCACAUGCCUAGCAUGCACAAGGUCCUGGGUUCAAUCCCCAGUAUCUCUG
RNAcentral lists this transfer RNA (72 nucleotides) under Camelus ferus (Wild Bactrian camel). It matches the Rfam family "tRNA". Rfam says of the family: Transfer RNA (tRNA) molecules are approximately 80 nucleotides in length. Their secondary structure includes four short double-helical elements and three loops (D, anti-codon, and T loops). The record is from Rfam by way of RNAcentral. Lineage: Eukaryota; Metazoa; Chordata; Mammalia; Artiodactyla; Camelidae.